GUGGAACAUUUCUGCACAAUCCAUCACAUAUUUGUGGCCGUGCUCUGUAUCUUUGUCCUCCAACAAAUCAUUGUGGAUUCCAUCGAUGAAGGACGUCUUGUUUUGGAUUUCGAGUCUUUAUCAUUGGCUUUCGACAGCUGCCCACAGCACUCUUGGCCUGGCUCUGCAUGUUCCUCUACACCUUAUUUGUGCCCUAUCAGGCCCUGCAAAUGUGGUCAGGCUGCUUGAAGAUGACCAGGUUCCCCAACCUCUUGACGGCCACCUUGGUGUUCCUGGUGCUGCUCUGCCAUGCUACAGUGCUGGGAUUCUUUCCUGUCUAUAUUAUUGUCUACUCUAAUUUGGGAAUUGCCUCCCGUAAAAUUGUCCUCUUUGAGCAGGUAUGGCACUGGGGCAGCACAAAGAAAGUGGGUACAGGGGAAAGGAGUUCUUAAACAGAAAUGGGAGAAGCUAAGGUUGACGUUUGAAGUGAAGUUGGAAUUAUGAAGGAAUUCUGGUUGCCUCAGGACAUCUCAGUGUG
Molecule: long non-coding RNA, 517 nt
Organism: Thamnophis elegans (Western terrestrial garter snake)
Lineage: Eukaryota; Metazoa; Chordata; Lepidosauria; Squamata; Natricidae
Exons: 2
Source: RefSeq, a predicted model, not a curated record